Pteropus alecto (black flying fox) is the source of this 3552-nucleotide long non-coding RNA. RefSeq lists it as uncharacterized. The transcript has 5 exons. NCBI's taxonomy places the organism in Eukaryota, Metazoa, Chordata, Mammalia, Chiroptera, Pteropodidae. The record is from RefSeq and is a predicted model, not a curated record.
UCUGCGCAGGCGCACUCGGCCCGCCCGGAGGCGCGGGAAAGCUGAGUCAGGGUGCGCGGCGGCCGUGUGGAGGGGCCUCGAGAGCCCCGCCGCAGGUGGAUGCACCGCCGCAGGCUUCGGGCGGCGGAGCGGGCGCCGCGGGGAGGCCGCAGCGGAGUAUGGAGCUGUCACGGCCUAAGCUGCGGGCCCCGUCCAUUUAUUACCCGCGCCCGGGAGGAUCCCUCAUUUAGUGUAUACUGUUCAUUUGUUAUCGAAACGGCCGGCAGCACUGUAAUUCGUGCCUGAACUCUGCUUAUCUGACAUGAGUGUCUUCUCCAUGAUGUACAUCGCAGCCUUCUUGGGCUCAGGAAACUGGACAGAACUUGAGCACCACCUUGGGGGCCAUUUUAAACAGCCAAGCCAUGAACAAAAAGCACACAAGUAAAACUGGCACCAAAUAAGCGGCGAAAAGGACACUUCUUUACAGUAUCAGAGCUGGAACAAGACGGCAGGCGUCAUCUUGCUCGACCUCAGCUGGAAGUGUGUUCAUCAGGCAACUCAGGGUUUCACCACUCUGCCCAUGUCUGCAAAAGACCGCGAAAGCUCCACAAGUAUUGAUUUGGGAGUUACGAAUAAAUUUUAGCAAGUAGGCAGGUUCACGAGUGUGGCAUCCACAAAUGCAGAUCGACUGUGCGCACCUGUGUGUGCUCAUUUUCCUUAGUCUUUUUUCGAACCACUCGAGAGCAUGCUCUGGACGUGAUGUGAUGCCCAGCACCCCCACACACUGUGUAUUUCCCAAAAGCAGACACUCCUGCAUAACCACCCUCCAGCCGUCCGCGUGGGGAAGUCACUAUUGAAAAAUAUUAAGGGCCAAUUCCCAGACCCCAUUUAGAUUAUGCCAACUGUGUCAACAAUGUUUAUUUUUCCUUCCUGCUCCAGGAUCUCAUCCAUAAUCAUGGUCACUCUCCUCUAAGCUAGGAUAGGCCCUUGGUCACUCUGUCCCUAACUGUUUCAGUUUUUAUUAAAGAUUACAGACUUCAUACAUAUAAGAAGGCAGGGUUCUUUGGAAAAGGCAGUAAUGCUGGGAAAAAUAUAAAGCAAUGGGGAAAGAGAAAGAACAAAUAUGAGCUGGAUUGACUCCACGAGAGGAGUCACAGGCGUCUGCAGGUAUGAGCAGGGCUGCUGAGGACAGGACCUUGUGGACAUCGCUCAGAGUCCCCGGGAGUCGGAGUGGACUCGACGGCACAUAACACAGGAUGAGUCUCAGGGUCCACCAAUGGUCCUUCAGGACCAGACCGGUUCGUGUUUCCUUGGUAGGAACACCACUGAAUGGUGCUUAUCGGGGACCCAAGAUUGCUCCCCAUCCCUACCACGGGGAAUACUAAUCCUGAUUAGCCAGUCACAUCGAUGUCCACUCGUUUUCUCCACGUUUUUCAUUCAUAAGUUGAUUGUAUUUCGUGGGGAGCCAUUCUGAGAUUCCGCCGUUGUCUUGUUCUUCCCCAGCCCCUGCCUGAAAACCUUCGCCUUCGUCAGUGACUUUUCCCUGAUUCACUGUGGCCACUGCCAAGCGGCGCUUUUUAAAAUUUCCGUCAUUUGUUCUCCAUUUAUUAGUUGGCAUUCCGAUACAAGGAAAAGAUUGCCCUGCUCUGUUUACUUUGACUCGUGUUUGUAUCAGUAUGGACGCUUGGAUGUCUGUUUUAUUCGAUGGAUACUGUUCUGUUGCUAUCGUUAUCUGUUUCGAGGUUCAAAUCGUCUGAGUUUGGUCAGUGUGAGCCCCAUCCAGCUGGCUCCUGAGUUCUUCGGACAUGCACCAUCCCUCUGUCCCCUGCCUCCUGGCACAAGACGUUCCAGGCUCGUGUGCUCUUCCCGUGCCAGCGUGGGAUCAGCCAUUUCUCCCAGAGCGCUCUUUUCAGUGGGGGAUGGGAUUCAGAAACCAGAGUUUGAGUGUGUGGCGUGCUUAUUGCUACCAGGGUGUAAUCGCUUCUAGGCCCUCAGUAGACACAGACGCCACCGAUGACGGGCUUCCUUAAAUGUCCUCUGAGAACUGCCUUGCGGUCAGCGAGGAAGGACCUUGUCAUGACUGCACGGGGGAAGUGCGGCAGAAUUUGGAGCCUUAGCGAACCUCAGGAAGUCAACCUGGAGAGGCCACUGUGCGAGUCCAGUAACAUGCUGACUCUCCAUCAAGGGACCAGUGUUCUUCACUAGUAGGUCGCUUUUAUGAUCCUCAUUCUACACGCGAGGAAGCUGAGGUGCAGAGGUGUUAAGAAGCAUGCCCGAGAGGAGAGUCGGGGUCUAAACCCCGGCUCCGCGUCCACAUUCUUGACUGUCCGCGGCUACGGCCGGCUGGCGGGGAGAGGGAGAGGCAGGCAGGGGCCAGCUCACGCACGAAAAGGCAGCUGUGAACGUCGGUGGCCUCAUGGCUGAGUCGCGAUGGCGGGAAGCCCCUCAGUUACGCAGAGGAAACGCAGCGACGCUGUGGUCGCCGCACACGUGGCGCUUUAAAGCAUUUGUUUGGCUGCAGGAUGCGGAGGACAGACCGAGAGGCAGGAGCCAGGGGCGCAGGAAGGGCUAAGGACCGAAUCAAACGCUGCAGCAGAGAGAAAGGGGAAGACGCCGGGCUGUGGAUGCUGACCGAGCGCCUCGCCUCUGGGCUUCUCGUGACGCAAGGAUAUAUCAGCUGUGAGAUCAAAGUUGGCGGAUAAGCAUGGGCGCAUGGCUCUGGGCCUCCGGGAAAGAGGUCCGGCCUAGGGAAGUAGAGUCGGAACUCGUCGCCGUGAAGAUGGCGAGUGCGGCCCGUCGACAGGAUUGUCCGCGAGGGUCCCCCACAGAGAGGAGGGCCCAGGCCUGCCCGGCGAAGGCCACGCAUGAGAAAGGGGACGGGCCCAGCUGACUGCACAGCAGCCCGGUGCAGGGAGGAUGCGUGGCACUAUCGCAGGCCCAGGGCGCUCAGGGACGUUUGACUGCGUCAGCCCAGCUGUGUCCAUGACGAGUUCCGAGGCCCGCUCCCAGCUGCGGCCCUGACCUUGGCAGCGGCCUUGCUGGGCCUGGGCGCUCACCCUCUCUGGGGCCCUCUCUUCUUACCGUUGAGCCCCGGGCCUGACUCAGCUCCUCCUGCAAGACCCCAGGUCUGCCCUGCGCUGCCACAGAAGCCCGGGCAGGGCUGGGGGACGCACUGCACCUUAAGUUGGCGACGAGCCAGCCUUGGCCUCUCCCAGUCGUCCCGCAUCAGUAGCACCCAGCAGCCACCAACCUGUCCUUGUACGUACGGCCCACUCCUCCCAAAUGCCCGAAACCGCAGCAGCUGACGAGUUCCUCCCACCGCGGUCCACCCACUUGACCCCUUAAAAGUUUGUUUUUAGUCAAUAGAUUUCGUUUUCUAAAACAGUUUCGGAUUUGCAGAAAGCGUGAGCAGACGGCAGAGUUCCCAGAUACCUGCUCUCCUCAGGCGCCAUCUCCCCUGUUAUUUGCCAACUUGCAUUAUUGUGAUACAUGUGUUACAAUCGGUGAACCAAUAUUAAUACAUGUUAUUAACUAAAAUCCGCAGUUGCUAUUAAAGUUCUCCCUGUGUUGUGC